UGGGAUAUAGCUCAGUUGGUAGAGUGCUUGCCUUACAUAUCAGGUCCUGGGUUCAAUCCCCAGCAUCACAA
Molecule: transfer RNA, 71 nt
Filed under: Ictidomys tridecemlineatus (thirteen-lined ground squirrel)
Lineage: Eukaryota; Metazoa; Chordata; Mammalia; Rodentia; Sciuridae
Description: Spermophilus tridecemlineatus (thirteen-lined ground squirrel) tRNA
Rfam family: tRNA
About the family: Transfer RNA (tRNA) molecules are approximately 80 nucleotides in length. Their secondary structure includes four short double-helical elements and three loops (D, anti-codon, and T loops). Further hydrogen bonds mediate the characteristic L-shaped molecular structure. tRNAs have two regions of fundamental functional importance: the anti-codon, which is responsible for specific mRNA codon recognition, and the 3' end, to which the tRNAs corresponding amino acid is attached (by aminoacyl-tRNA synthetases). tRNAs cope with the degeneracy of the genetic code in two manners: having more than one tRNA (with a specific anti-codon) for a particular amino acid; and 'wobble' base-pairing, i.e. permitting non-standard base-pairing at the 3rd anti-codon position.
Source: Rfam by way of RNAcentral